UUGUGAGGUUAAGCGACUAAGCGUACACGGUGGAUGCCCUGGCAGUCAGAGGCGAUGAAGGACGUGCUAAUCUGCGAUAAGCGUCGGURAGGUGAUAUGAACCGUUAUAACCGGCGAUUUCCGAAUGGGGAAACCCAGUGUGWUUCGWCACACUAUCAUUAACUGAAUCCAUAGGUUAAUGAGGCGAACCGGGGGAACUGAAACAUCUAAGUACCCCGAGGAAAAGAAAUCAACCGAGAUUCCCCCAGUAGCGGCGAGCGAACGGGGAGGAGCCCAGAGCCUGAAUCAGUGUGUGUGUUAGUGGAAGCGUCUGGAAAGGCGCGCGAUACAGGGUGACAGCCCCGUACACAAAAAUGCACAUGCUGUGAGCUCGAUGAGUAGGGCGGGACACGUGGUAUCCUGUCUGAAUAUGGGGGGACCAUCCUCCAAGGCUAAAUACUCCUGACUGACCGAUAGUGAACCAGUACCGUGAGGGAAAGGCGAAAAGAACCCCGGCGAGGGGAGUGAAAAAGAACCUGAAACCGUGUACGUACAAGCAGUGGGAGCCUCUUAAUGGGGUGACUGCGUACCUUUUGUAUAAUGGGUCAGCGACUUAUAUUCUGUAGCAAGGUUAACCGAAUAGGGGAGCCGAAGGGAAACCGAGUCUUAACUGGGCGUUAAGUUGCAGGGUAUAGACCCGAAACCCGGUGAUCUAGCCAUGGGCAGGUUGAAGGUUGGGUAACACUAACUGGAGGACCGAACCGACUAAUGUUGAAAAAUUAGCGGAUGACUUGUGGCUGGGGGUGAAAGGCCAAUCAAACCGGGAGAUAGCUGGUUCUCCCCGAAAGCUAUUUAGGUAGCGCCUCGUGAAUUCAUCUCCGGGGGUAGAGCACUGUUUCGGCAAGGGGGUCAUCCCGACUUACCAACCCGAUGCAAACUGCGAAUACCGGAGAAUGUUAUCACGGGAGACACACGGCGGGUGCUAACGUCCGUCGUGAAGAGGGAAACAACCCAGACCGCCAGCUAAGGUCCCAAAGUCAUGGUUAAGUGGGAAACGAUGUGGGAAGGCCCAGACAGCCAGGAUGUUGGCUUAGAAGCAGCCAUCAUUUAAAGAAAGCGUAAUAGCUCACUGGUCGAGUCGGCCUGCGCGGAAGAUGUAACGGGGCUAAACCAUGCACCGAAGCUGCGGCAGCGACACUAUGUGUUGUUGGGUAGGGGAGCGUUCUGUAAGCCUGUGAAGGUGGCCUGUGAGGGUUGCUGGAGGUAUCAGAAGUGCGAAUGCUGACAUAAGUAACGAUAAAGCGGGUGAAAAGCCCGCUCGCCGGAAGACCAAGGGUUCCUGUCCAACGUUAAUCGGGGCAGGGUGAGUCGACCCCUAAGGCGAGGCCGAAAGGCGUAGUCGAUGGGAAACAGGUUAAUAUUCCUGUACUUGGUGUUACUGCGAAGGGGGGACGGAGAAGGCUAUGUUGGCCGGGCGACGGUUGUCCCGGUUUAAGCGUGUAGGCUGGUUUUCCAGGCAAAUCCGGAAAACCAAGGCUGAGGCGUGAUGACGAGGCACUACGGUGCUGAAGUGACAAAUGCCCUGCUUCCAGGAAAAGCCUCUAAGCAUCAGGUAACAUCAAAUCGUACCCCAAACCGACACAGGUGGUCAGGUAGAGAAUACCAAGGCGCUUGAGAGAACUCGGGUGAAGGAACUAGGCAAAAUGGUGCCGUAACUUCGGGAGAAGGCACGCUGAUAUGUAGGUGAAGCGACUUGCUCGUGGAGCUGAAAUCAGUCGAAGAUACCAGCUGGCUGCAACUGUUUAUUAAAAACACAGCACUGUGCAAACACGAAAGUGGACGUAUACGGUGUGACGCCUGCCCGGUGCCGGAAGGUUAAUUGAUGGGGUUAGCGGUAACGCGAAGCUCUUGAUCGAAGCCCCGGUAAACGGCGGCCGUAACUAUAACGGUCCUAAGGUAGCGAAAUUCCUUGUCGGGUAAGUUCCGACCUGCACGAAUGGCGUAAUGAUGGCCAGGCUGUCUCCACCCGAGACUCAGUGAAAUUGAACUCGCUGUGAAGAUGCAGUGUACCCGCGGCAAGACGGAAAGACCCCGUGAACCUUUACUAUAGCUUGACACUGAACAUUGAGCCUUGAUGUGUAGGAUAGGUGGGAGGCUUUGAAGUGUGGACGCCAGUCUGCAUGGAGCCGACCUUGAAAUACCACCCUUUAAUGUUUGAUGUUCUAACGUUGGCCCCUAAUCGGGGUUGCGGACAGUGUCUGGUGGGUAGUUUGACUGGGGCGGUCUCCUCCUAAAGAGUAACGGAGGAGCACGAAGGUUGGCUAAUCCUGGUCGGACAUCAGGAGGUUAGUGCAAUGGCAUAAGCCAGCUUGACUGCGAGCGUGACGGCGCGAGCAGGUGCGAAAGCAGGUCAUAGUGAUCCGGUGGUUCUGAAUGGAAGGGCCAUCGCUCAACGGAUAAAAGGUACUCCGGGGAUAACAGGCUGAUACCGCCCAAGAGUUCAUAUCGACGGCGGUGUUUGGCACCUCGAUGUCGGCUCAUCACAUCCUGGGGCUGAAGUAGGUCCCAAGGGUAUGGCUGUUCGCCAUUUAAAGUGGUACGCGAGCUGGGUUUAGAACGUCGUGAGACAGUUCGGUCCCUAUCUGCCGUGGGCGCUGGAGAACUGAGGGGGGCUGCUCCUAGUACGAGAGGACCGGAGUGGACGCAUCACUGGUGUUCGGGUUGUCAUGCCAAUGGCACUGCCCGGUAGCUAAAUGCGGAAGAGAUAAGUGCUGAAAGCAUCUAAGCACGAAACUUGCCCCGAGAUGAGUUCUCCCUGAGACUUAGAGUCUCCUGAAGGAACGUUGAAGACGACGACGUUGAUAGGCCGGGUGUGUAAGCGCAGCGAUGCGUUGAGCUAACCGGUACUAAUGAACCGUGAGGCUUAACCUUACAACGCCGAAG
This 2922-nucleotide ribosomal RNA is filed under the name Escherichia coli. Its description in RNAcentral is "23S ribosomal RNA". It matches the Rfam family "Bacterial large subunit ribosomal RNA". Lineage: Bacteria; Pseudomonadati; Pseudomonadota; Gammaproteobacteria; Enterobacterales; Enterobacteriaceae. The record is from RNAcentral.